Girardinichthys multiradiatus is the source of this 888-nucleotide long non-coding RNA. RefSeq lists it as uncharacterized. The record is from RefSeq and is a predicted model, not a curated record. The transcript is spliced from 2 exons. NCBI's taxonomy places the organism in Eukaryota, Metazoa, Chordata, Actinopteri, Cyprinodontiformes, Goodeidae.
GUUUCAAGGGAUGGUGAUAGUUCCUCCUGACACCCAACAGCCUGAGUUACUCCAAGAGUUUAAAAUUCCUGGUAAUAUAUUGGAGCUGCAGCACCAGGAUUCAAAUCUUGUGAAGUAUUUUAAAGAGGCAAAAGUUAACAAAAAGGAUUUUGUCAUUCAGAAUGACAUUCUCUACAGGCAAAAUGGACCAAUUAAACAGCUUGUGGUUCCUAGAGCAGUGAGAGAAACUGUUUUGAAGUUGGGCCAUUCUAUUCCCUGGGCUGGCCGCCUGGGGAAGCAUAAGACCUUAGCCCGUAUAAAGCGCUGUUUCUAUUGGCCUGGCUUGCGUAGAGAUGUUGUGCAGUUUUGUAGGAGCUGUCCAGAAUGUCAAGUUAAAUCAGCCAGGCUGCCCAAUAAAGCUCCUCUCCAACCUCUUCCAGUUCUGGGUACUCCAUUUCAAUGCCUGGGCAUGGACAUAGUGGGACCAGUGGAAAGGAGUAAAGCUGGAAAUCGGUUUAUGCUGGUGAUUGUAGAUUACACAACUAAAUAUCCAGAAGUGUUCUCCCUGAAAGUUGUCAAAGCAAAGAAUGUUGCAUUCUGUUUGGAGUGGAGAUGGAUUGGUGCUUCUGUUCAGUCACUGUUUAAAAUACCUAUACCUCAUUUGAACUGCAAAUGUUUGUAGUGGGAUUUACAAGUCCCCAUGCGUUGCUAUCGCCCUCCAAAUUAUAGUAAGGACUCUGUCAAUGAGUUCUCUGAAUUUCUUACUGACAUUCUCCCUAAAUAUGAUUCUAUUCUGAUUUGAGGGGAUUUUUAUGUUCACAUUUGUUGUCCAGGUGAUCAACUUGUGGAGUAUUACUCUGGCUGAGGGCUCAUCUGGUCUUGUCAUUUGCUUGCAACCUCCAACACACA